Long non-coding RNA from Oreochromis niloticus (Nile tilapia), 534 nucleotides. RefSeq lists it as uncharacterized. The record is from RefSeq and is a predicted model, not a curated record. NCBI's taxonomy places the organism in Eukaryota, Metazoa, Chordata, Actinopteri, Cichliformes, Cichlidae. The transcript is spliced from 2 exons.
CGAGCCGGCCUCUCCACCCCUGGGAGGGGCCUCUGUGUUCUGCUUAUUGCUCGCACCUGUGGGUAAUUAAGCCGGGACUCAAAAGGCCAGCGCACUCAACCUCUCUUUGCCAAAUUCUCAGCUAACCCUAGUUAGCGCAGGCCACCGCUGUGUGUUUUGUACACGCCUCGCAAACUACCCAUCCGGACGCUGGACCUCCUGACAGUCUCACGGGUUGCUCACCCCAUUCACCUGCCUGCCUGCCUCCCUGCCUCAACGCCAGGAAUUUCGGACCACUCACCCCUCCACGUCACUACAGACCACCCGCGGCAAUGACUCUGACCCUUUCCCCGGACCCAGCCAACCAGUUUAACUCUCCCUCCAGCCCAAUCCUCGGAACAGCUGUUUCCACUGAUGAACGAUCAGAGUGCUUGCUUAGCUCAGGCUGCAUAAACCCCUUAGGUUAAGUUGUGGCAUCUAGCAUUUGUUAAACUCGCAUUCCAGUUUUCUGAUUGUGAAGACUUGUUGAGAAAAUAAACGUUGUCACUGAAACUA